UGGAUCCUGCUGAGAGGUGGGAGUGCCCGAAAGGGAGCCAUAACACAGGUGCUGCAUGGCUGUCGUCAGCUCGUGUCGUGAGAUGUUGGGUUAAGUCCCGCAACGAGCGCAACCCUUGUCCCUAGUUGCUACGCAAGAGCACUCUAGGGAGACUGCCGGUGACAAACCGGAGGAAGGUGGGGAUGACGUCAAGUCCUCAUGGCCCUUAUGGGUAGGGCUUCACACGUCAUACAAUGGUCGGAACAGAGGGUCGCCAACCCGUGAGGGGGAGCCAAUCCCAGAAAACCGAUCGUAGUCCGGAUCGCACUCUGCAACUCGAGUGCGUGAAGCUGGAAUCGCUAGUAAUCGCGGAUCAGCAUGCCGCGGUGAAUA
This 372-nucleotide ribosomal RNA is filed under the name Burkholderia sp. RegPM10. RNAcentral's name for it is "bacterial SSU rRNA". It matches the Rfam family "Bacterial small subunit ribosomal RNA", at positions 991 to 1368 of the family's 1533-position model. Lineage: Bacteria; Pseudomonadati; Pseudomonadota; Betaproteobacteria; Burkholderiales; Burkholderiaceae. The record is from RNAcentral.